This 297-nucleotide ribosomal RNA is filed under the name uncultured bacterium. RNAcentral's name for it is "partial 16S ribosomal RNA". It matches the Rfam family "Bacterial small subunit ribosomal RNA", at positions 29 to 322 of the family's 1533-position model. The record is from RNAcentral.
AUGAACGCUAGCGGCAGGCUUAAUACAUGCAAGUCGAGGGGCAGCAUAAGUAGCAAUACUUGAUGGCGACCGGCAAACGGGUGCGGAACACGUACGCAACCUUCCUUUAAGUGGGGAAGUAGCCCGGGGAAACCCGGAUUAAUACCCCGUAAUAUUAUGAUGUGGCAUCACAUUAUAAUUAUAGAUUCAUCGCUUAAAGAUGGGCGUGCGCCUGAUUAGGUAGUUGGCGGAGUAAUAGCCCACCAAGCCUGCGAUCAGUAACUGGUGUGAGAGCACGACCAGUCACACGGGCACUGA